RNAcentral lists this unclassified non-coding RNA (353 nucleotides) under soil metagenome. RNAcentral's name for it is "partial contains 5.8S ribosomal RNA, internal transcribed spacer 2, and large subunit ribosomal RNA". The stretch from base 2 to 119 matches the Rfam family "5.8S ribosomal RNA", at positions 37 to 154 of the family's 154-position model. The record is from RNAcentral.
GUGAAGAACGCAGCGAAAUGCGAUAAGUAGUGUGAAUUGCAGAAUUCAGUGAAUCAUCGAAUCUUUGAACGCACAUUGCGCCUCCUGGUAUUCCGGGAGGCAUGCCUGUUCGAGCGUCAUUAAAAUCACUCAAGCUUAGGUUUACCUAUUGCUUGGUCUUGGAGAUGGAAGCCAAUUUAUUGGAAUCCUCUUCGAAAUUCAAUGGCGAAGACCCUUGCUCUCCCAAGUGUAGUAAUAACUUAUGUCACUGAAGGAAGCGAGAAAUCUUCUGCCGUAACCCCCAUAUUUUCUAUGAUUGACCUCGGAUCAGGUAGGGAUACCCGCUGAACUUAAGCAUAUCAAUAAGCGGAGGA